Long non-coding RNA from Mus caroli (Ryukyu mouse), 299 nucleotides. RefSeq lists it as uncharacterized. Lineage: Eukaryota; Metazoa; Chordata; Mammalia; Rodentia; Muridae. The record is from RefSeq and is a predicted model, not a curated record.
AAAAGAGCCAUUUUCUGACCAGAGCAGAUCACAUUCUGGGUCCUUCUACCCUGCUUCAUGGCCUGGGAAGGGAACCUACAGAGCUGUGAGGCUGGAAGCAGCUGCAGGAGUCCCUAUCCCCACCCAUCAGCCGUUGCUGCUCAUUGGCCUGUGCUUGGACACUCUACUGCACAAAGAGAGGGCCCAGAACUCCCCAUCGGGAACUGAUGUGUGCCAGCCAUGGGCAGUGAGGGAAAGGAUAAAGACUGACUGCCUGAGCUACCUGAGGAAAUCCCCCAAGGUCUCUUAUUAGGUGUACA